Molecule: long non-coding RNA, 2400 nt
Filed under: Mus musculus (house mouse)
Lineage: Eukaryota; Metazoa; Chordata; Mammalia; Rodentia; Muridae
Description: long non-coding RNA chr5:64823029-64825429
Source: RNAcentral
GUAAGUAUACUUAGGCAGACCUGGUGUUUUAGUAGUGCCAUGCACCUGGGGUCCCGGAAUAAAACAUGGAAUUGCAAACAUGUGAUGUGCUGUGGAUGGCCGCAGACAGCCUCUUUGGUGUGGUAUCACUUGUCCUCAGUUAACCGUGGCCAAGACAGUCUCCAAGAACAACAUGGACCAGACCUGCAACCGUUGUGUCAACCUCACUAAAUGGGUCCCCCAAGGUGACCACAUGAAUCUUCUGGUUUUUUAUUUAUUUUUUCUUUUCUUUUGCCAUCCACGUGGGAUUGAUAGUGUUUUCAUGAAGAUUGGAUUUGAUGUUCAUAUCUGCUUGAACAACCAAAAGUUGUCCCAUGUCAAACAGCAGCCGCCCCAACGCCCCUCACCCACCGCUGUCACUGUAGUGCAGUAGAGCGUGUUUAUGGUGUUUAUGGUUUGACAUCUUCAGGCCAGCGGCAGCGUUGGCCACAGAAGCUUCUCCUGCAGCUCAGAGGAGCUCAGUGCAGAAAGAAAUCUUGGCAUUGCGUCUUUAAUCAUGGCUGCCCUUGGAGCCUCUCCUCACUUGCAGGGCUGUAAGCCAGGAGGAAGGAUGCUCUGCCUUGGCCAGCAUCUGAGCCUCUGCUUGGACAGGGUGGUACCUCACAUGGUUAAGUCACAGUUCAUGGUUUGACCCCUGAAGAGAGCAGCGUCUGGGAAGACGGCUUUGACCCGGGCGCUGUGCUUCAGCACGCGAGGACUAAGCUUAUUCUCACUGCCCACGUCUUCUGCCUUUUUGUUGUAAUUGCUCUUGUACCAACUCUAUAGUGCUUCUGCACUGGGUCCAGCCAACUAAUUGGGACAGCCUCAGCAUCCACAGCCAUUGCCUCUGCAGGGUCCCUCCCACCAUCCAUCAUGUGGAUCUUCUCUCCAGCUUCAGCAAAUGUUCUGCCUACUUUUCCUGUCCUACCUUCUCUUCCCCUGUCACAUUGCUCAACAGUAGAGUGUGAGUUCCUUGGCUUCACAGAAGCUGUUGCGGGUGACUUCAGGUCUACUGCGGUCACACCCAACUCUGGUUUGUGUGGCUUUCUCAGCAGCUUGGAGGCCAGUGCUCUCCUUUUUCACAGUUGUAUAGUACUUCCCCUUGAAGUUCAGUUUUAGGGUUUUUGUCUGUUUUUGUUUAAAGACAGGGUCUUGGUGUACAGCCCAGGCUGACCCCAUAUUCCUGACCUGUCUGCCUCAGCCUCCUGACUAUCAGGGUUGCAAGCAUGAAGCCUCAUGCCCAGCUCCAGGUGUUUCGAGUGAGUUCCUUUAUUCAGAGCAGAUAGAGAACUGAUAAGCCAACAUAUUAGUUAAGGUACCCCCAAUACACCCACGGUCCCACACUUGACACGGGGUACCUGCUUUGAGCUCCGUCUCUCUGGGCGUGUAGUUGGCCAGUAGAUAGCACAGGGCUAGACUUACAUUACAAAUUAAAAUGUGAGACAUUGUGGGAAAGUAUUUGAAAGUAGUCUCCCAUUCUUUAAAUACUGCUUAAAAGGAAAUACUGUUUCCAGCUAGGUGUGGUAGGAUAUGCCUGUGACCCCAGCAUGUGGGAGGUAGAGGCAGGAGGAUCAGGCAUUUAAGCCAGGCUGAGCUAUAUAUUAAAUAUACACACACACACACACACAUAUAUAUUAUAUUAUUAUAUAUUUCUGUUUCAAGUAAUAUUCCUUUAGUGAUCUCACUGCUGGAGGUUUUUGAAUGCUUAAUGAGUAAUGUGUUUAUUUAAUGCUGACCUAAGAUGCAUUUUUCUCCCCCCAAAAAAAAAACCCAAAAACAAAAACCUCUGUAGAUUAACCACAGUGGAACAUGCACUCUAUGUAAUUCUUUCGCAGAUGGGAUUAAGUAAUGUCUUGGAGUGGGCCCAGUAGCAGCCCACAUAGAACACAUUAGCCAGGAAAGAAUUGCUUGAAGCCAAGUACCUAGAACAUUGCCGUGAGCCUGGCCCCUCAGCAACACCAGCCUUGAAACCCUGCUGCCUAGGCGUGGGCUUCACAGCUUGGAAACUCAUUUGCUUGAUCCAGAAUUACAGCAUUAGCAUCAUUUUUAAAUGCAUUCAAAGGUAUAACAAAAUAUAAAAUAAAAUUCAAAAGAUGCCAUUCCUUUUGUCAGGCUGCAUUUAGAACAGGAAAAUGGGAGACCAGAAAAACAGGAGAGGGCGUAAGGAUGCGGACUUAGGAAGGGCCAAUUUAACUCAGAGCAGGUAUCUGCUACAUAGUAACUAGUCUAUGCCUGUUUGAUCCCAAAUGAUCUCUUUAGAAAUUUAAUCCCAGCACUUGGGAGGCAGAGACAGGUGGAUUUCUGAGUUCGAGGCCAGCCUGGUCUACAAAGUGAGUUACAGGACAGCCAGGGCUACACAGAGAUACCCUGUCUCCAAAAACC